AAUCAACGCUGGCGGCGCGCUUAACACAUGCAAGUCGAACGAGAAAGGGGAGUAAUCCCUGAGUACAGUGGCGUACGGGUGAGUAACACGUGGGUGAUCUGCCUUUUAGUGGGGGAUAUCUCUGGGAAACCGGAGUUAAUACCGCAUAAGCUCGGAAGAGGAAAGCCGAAAGGCGCUGAGAGAGGAGCCCGCGGCCGAUUAGCUAGUUGGUGAGGUAAUGGCUCACCAAGGCCGAGAUCGGUAGCCGGCCUGAGAGGGCACACGGCCACACUGGCACUGAAACACGGGCCAGACUCCUACGGGAGGCAGCAGUGGGGAAUCUUGCACAAUGGGGGCAACCCUGAUGCAGCGACGCCGCGUGAGCGAUGAAGCCC
This 374-nucleotide ribosomal RNA is filed under the name uncultured bacterium. RNAcentral's name for it is "bacterial SSU rRNA". It matches the Rfam family "Bacterial small subunit ribosomal RNA", at positions 29 to 416 of the family's 1533-position model. The record is from RNAcentral.